UACGUAGGGUGCAAGCGUUGUCCGGAAUUAUUGGGCGUAAAGAGCUCGUAGGCGGUCUGUCGCGUCUGCUGUGAAAACUCAGGGCUUAACCCUGAGCUUGCAGUGGGUACGGGCAGACUAGAGUGCGGUGGGGGAGACUGGAAUUCCUGGUGUAGCGGUGAAAUGCGCAGAUAUCAGGAGGAACACCGGUGGCGAAGGCGGGUCUCUGGGCCGUAACUGACGCUGAGGAGCGAAAGCAUGGGGAGCGAACAGG
Molecule: ribosomal RNA, 253 nt
Filed under: uncultured bacterium
Lineage: Bacteria
Description: partial 16S ribosomal RNA
Rfam family: Bacterial small subunit ribosomal RNA
Source: RNAcentral